CGAAUGGGACAAGUUGAGAGAGAAUGCCAAGUAUCAAGGAUAUAGGCCCACAGAUGACAUCAUCCAGAACUUCUGGAUAGUUUUCAUGGAGUUCUCUGAGGAGCAAAAGAAGAAGUUCUUAACUUUUCUAACUGGAACGGACAGACUGCCCAGAGGACGAAGCUCUCCAAACUGCAGAUGCAAAUCACGUCUUUGGGCGGAAUUG
This is a long non-coding RNA of Coregonus clupeaformis (lake whitefish), 205 nucleotides long. RefSeq lists it as uncharacterized. The record is from RefSeq and is a predicted model, not a curated record. Lineage: Eukaryota; Metazoa; Chordata; Actinopteri; Salmoniformes; Salmonidae. The transcript is spliced from 3 exons.